AUUGAACGCUGGCGGCAGGCUUAACACAUGCAAGUCGAGCGGGGUGAUGGUGCUUGCACUAUCACUUAGCGGCGGACGGGUGAGUAAUGCUUAGGAAUCUGCCUAUUAGUGGGGGACAACAUCUCGAAAGGGAUGCUAAUACCCCAUACGUCCUACGGGAGAAAGAAGGGGACCACUUGUGACCUUUCGCUAUUAGAGGAGCCUAAGUCGGAUUAGCUAGUUGGUGGGGUAAAGGCCUACCAAGGCGACGAUCUGUAGCGGGUCUGAGAGGAUGAUCCGCCACACUGGGACUGAGACACGGCCCAGACUCCUACGGGAGGCAGCAGUGGGGAAUAUUGGACAAUGGGGGGAACCCUGAUCCAGCCAUGCCGCGUGUGUGAAGAAGGCCUUAUGGUUGUAAAGCACUUUAAGCGAGGAGGAGGCUCUUUUGGUUAAUACCCAAGAUGAGUGGACGUUACUCGCAGAAUAAGCACCGGCUAACUCUGUGCCAGCCGCCGCGGUAA
This 503-nucleotide ribosomal RNA is filed under the name uncultured bacterium. Its description in RNAcentral is "partial 16S ribosomal RNA". It matches the Rfam family "Bacterial small subunit ribosomal RNA", at positions 30 to 523 of the family's 1533-position model. The record is from RNAcentral.